RNAcentral lists this microRNA precursor (80 nucleotides) under Dasypus novemcinctus (nine-banded armadillo). Its description in RNAcentral is "miRNA (ENSDNOG00000047320.1)". The stretch from base 7 to 58 matches the Rfam family "mir-1302 microRNA precursor family". The record is from RNAcentral. Lineage: Eukaryota; Metazoa; Chordata; Mammalia; Cingulata; Dasypodidae.
CAAAGCUUUUUAGUAUAAGUAUCUCCCAUGUUAUGUUUGGGGUAUACUUAUGCUAAAAAGUUUAUUCUAGGGUGGGGGAA